AUUGAACGCUGGCGGCAGGCCUAACACAUGCAAGUCGAACGAGUGGCGGACGGGUGAGUAAUGUCUGGGAAACUGCCUGAUGGCGGGGGAUAACUACUGGAAACGGUAGCUAAUACCGCAUACCAUCGAAUGUGCCCAGAUGGGAUGAGCUAGUAGGUGGGGUAACGGCUCACAUAGGCGACGAUCCCUAACUGGUAUGAGAGGAGGACCAGCCACACUGGAACUGAGACACGGUCCAGACUCCUACGGGAGGCAGCAGUGGGGAAGAUUGCACAAUGGGCGCAAGCCUGAUGCAGCCAUGCCGCGUGUAUGAAGAAGGCCGUCGGGUUGUAAAGUACUUUCAGCGGGGAGGCGUUACCCGCAGAAGAAGCACCGGCUAACUCCGUGCCAGCCGCCGCGGUAAUAC
This 406-nucleotide ribosomal RNA is filed under the name uncultured bacterium. RNAcentral describes it as "partial 16S ribosomal RNA". It matches the Rfam family "Bacterial small subunit ribosomal RNA", at positions 29 to 526 of the family's 1533-position model. The record is from RNAcentral.